RNAcentral lists this ribosomal RNA (426 nucleotides) under uncultured bacterium. RNAcentral describes it as "bacterial SSU rRNA". It matches the Rfam family "Bacterial small subunit ribosomal RNA", at positions 355 to 773 of the family's 1533-position model. The record is from RNAcentral.
UGGGGAAUAUUGGACAAUGGGGGGAACCCUGAUCCAGCGAUGCCGCGUGUGUGAAGAAGGCCUUCGGGUUGUAAAGCACUUUUAUCUGGAGCGAAAUCUGCAGGGCUAAUACCCAUGCAGUCUGACGGUACCAGAGGAAUAAGCACCGGCUAACUUCGUGCCAGCAGCCGCGGUAAUACGAAGGGUGCAAGCGUUACUCGGAAUUACUGGGCGUAAAGCGUGAGUAGGUGGUUUCUUAAGUCUGCUGUGAAAGCCCCGGGCUCAACCUGGGAAUUGCAGUGGAUACUGGGAAGCUAGAGUGCGGUAGAGGGUAGUGGAAUUCCCGGUGUAGCGGUGAAAUGCGUAGAGAUCGGGAGGAACACCAGUGGCGAAGGCGGCUCACUAGGUCUGGAUUGACGCUCAGGGACGAAAGCGUGGGGAGCAAAC